UACGGAGGAUGCAAGCGUUAUCCGGAAUGAUUGGGCGUAAAGCGUCCGCAGGUGGCAAUGUAAGUCUGCUGUCAAAGCGUCUGGCUCAACCAGAUAAAGGCAGUGGAAACUACAUAGCUAGAGUAAGGUAGGGGUAGAGGGAAUUCCUGGUGUAGCGGUGAAAUGCGCAGAGAUCGGGAGGAACACCCGUAGCGAAGGCGGCACUCUGGGCCGGUACUGACGCUGAGACGCGAAAGCGUGGGGAGCAAACAGG
RNAcentral lists this ribosomal RNA (253 nucleotides) under uncultured bacterium. RNAcentral describes it as "partial 16S ribosomal RNA". It matches the Rfam family "Bacterial small subunit ribosomal RNA", at positions 524 to 776 of the family's 1533-position model. The record is from RNAcentral.